This is a small nucleolar RNA of Cavia aperea (Brazilian guinea pig), 121 nucleotides long. NCBI's taxonomy places the organism in Eukaryota, Metazoa, Chordata, Mammalia, Rodentia, Caviidae. The record is from Ensembl.
AAUUAUAGAAGUUUUCAAAUGGGUCUGACUCUACCACAUACAUUGUAAGGAGCUAGCAAAAGCUUAAAGACUGAAGUAUCUCUCCUGAGCUUUUUUGUAUGAGAUAUUGGCUCUCACAAUC